UACAACGUGAACAAGACAGGCUGAUUAAGAAUGUACAUAAUGUAAAAAUAUGCAUAUUUGAUAGGUUAGCCAUAUGGACAAAUGCAUGUGGAAGCAGGAGUACGUAAUGAGAAAUUUGAAUAUCCACAGGCAGGUUAGUGUGGGAUGCAGGCAAGUUAGUGCAGGCUUCUCCCGGAAGUGCGGUUUGUGUGAGAAGACCCUGUGUGGAAAUGGCUGCUGGCUCCCCUUUAUAACCCAGUUAGCUAGCAGGAGCCAUUAGGAUGUAUCUUCUUUCUCAGAGCUUAUAUAUGUAUUCUUUGGCAUGUGAGGGGCACAGGGAUAAAUAGUGAGGAGAAACCUGGAUGCAAAUUUUCCAUCCCAGGUCCAUCCAGCAUGUGAGGACCAGAGGGGGUGCCUGGGGAAUUGGGUGAAGUGAGACCUGGCGGCAAAUCUGAAUUCUGACUUCUGCCAGGCUGUGCAAAGCAGAGGUGGUCCUGGGCAAGGGGUGGGGAGAAACCUCCACCCUGGCUCCAGGCAACGUGAGUAUCUCCCCAAGAGGUGUGGACAAGAGAGGAAAAAGUAAGAAGAAGUUUCCUGUGCGCAAACUCUGCUGAGGGAUGGAUGGAAUUUGAGCAACACUUCUCAGGCUCAGGAUGGCAGCUGAGCCAUCCUGCCACCUGUUGGGAGCUCAACGGCAGCUUAUCUCGGGAUGGGCAUCGAACUGAUGUUGCACAGAGCUCGCACUCUUGAGUGAGCACUUAACCAACUGAGCCACUCAGCUAGCCCUAGUUUAGGUUUUAAAGGUCCAUUCAAAUGAAAACAUCCAAGAACCAUGUGUUGAUGGACAUGAAAUUAAAUGAGGAUGUCUGAGCAGGUGACACAAUACAGAAGCCAGAUGAAUAGAAGUAAUGCCUGAAACCAAGGCAAUGGAAGAUAGAUCAAACAGCCAAAAGACAGUUUUAAAAAGGAGAAAGAGAAAGAUGCAAAUCAAGAUUAAUGUGGCCUCCUGUGCCUGUUGGUGUUGGGCAGGGGGACCUGGAGCCAGAAGAGCAGCCUGGGGUUGGGGACAGAUCAGGAGAGUGUGGUUGGUGCGGCAUCUAGGCAGGAGAGAAUUUCAGGGAGAAAUGUUGAUCACCCAUGAAGACCACUACAGAGAUGAAGACAAGUAGCCUCUGGAGGAUCUUUCUGCCUUGGAGUGAUUUUAGUUGAGCAACAGGUAUAGAUGAUGGCUCACACUGAACGAAUAAGAGAAUAGCUGGUGAACAAGUGAAAGAUGUAAGAGUAGGAUCAUUUCCAAAGAGGGAAAUCUGAUGGUGGGAAGAAAUAGAAGGACCAUACACUGAAAAGAUGAUGGAAACAAGAUGCUACAUUGGUUAGUAAGAGGUGAACAUACUGUAAACACAAGGGAAAGAACCAGUACUGAAUAGACAUGGGACGAGAAGAUGAUUGAUGAGCUGAAGUCCUUGUGGAGGGAAAGGCGGUAAGAGCCAAACCUGAAACUGGACUGUUGAGUCCAAAGAGAAAAUAGUGGAAUAAAGUAUGAGUUCGGUUUAUCUUCUAACAAAAGAAAACAAAUCAUAAAACAACCCUUUCCCCAACCAACAGUCUGUCCUUCCUAUUGGGGCACUGCUAUCAGACUCCAUGGGAAUAAAUUCAAGGCAGGGCACUUAAAAGGAAGCAAGAUGUUCGGAGAAAGCGAAAAUGGCCGGCGGUGAGGAGUCCUCCCUGAGUUCUCCCCUGGAAAUUGCCUCAAUUUGAACUGGAGCGCCGCAGACAAACCUCUACCCAGCACGCUGAGCAGCGAAGGGACUCCCGCAGGGGAGCCCGCCCCCACGGUGUUUGAGACUGGGGUCUCAGAGAGCUGAUCGAGAGUGUUCCCAUGGCUCGCUCCAUGUACCUCCGGACCGCACUAAGACAGAAUCCUCAGGCAGGGCGAGUAGGGGAACAGAGUGCAAGCAGAGGCGUGGUCCAGUCCGCGCCUGUGGCAGCGGAGCUGUAGGAAUCCGGGACACAGUGGCGGUGUUUGCAGCAUCAGGGAAAGCUCAGCCUCUGGGCCCACCGUUCCGCUGGGAGUGUGACUGGAGCCCCAGGGCGCGUGGACUCUGAGGCAGAAACCUCAAACCGGUUGAGCAGGAGAAGAGGGAAGCGAGAAGCGUGGAGACACAGCCUGCAUCCCGCACCCCGCAGCUGUGGAGACACGAGCUGCAGCGCCAGGGUGGGCUCCUGGAGCGCAGCA
Molecule: long non-coding RNA, 2215 nt
Organism: Hipposideros armiger (great roundleaf bat)
Lineage: Eukaryota; Metazoa; Chordata; Mammalia; Chiroptera; Hipposideridae
Exons: 3
Source: RefSeq, a predicted model, not a curated record